Molecule: ribosomal RNA, 423 nt
Filed under: uncultured bacterium
Lineage: Bacteria
Description: bacterial SSU rRNA
Rfam family: Bacterial small subunit ribosomal RNA
Source: RNAcentral
UGAGGAAUAUUGCGCAAUGGAGGCAACUCUGACGCAGCCAUGCCGCGUGCAGGAAGAAGGCGCUACGCGUUGUAAACUGCUUUUAACCGGGAAGAAACCCUCCGACGUGUCGGAGGUUGACGGUACCGGAGGAAUAAGCACCGGCUAACUUCGUGCCAGCAGCCGCGGUAAUACGAAGGGUGCAAGCGUUAUCCGGAUUCAUUGGGUUUAAAGGGUGCGUAGGUGGGGCGAUAAGUCAGUGGUGAAAUCCUGCGGCUUAACCGUAGAAUUGCCAUUGAUACUGUCGCUCUUGAGUACGCUUGACGUGGGCGGAAUGUGCCGUGUAGCGGUGAAAUGCUUAGAUAUGGCACAGAACACCGAUAGUGAAGACAGCUCACGAAGGCGAAACUGACACUGAGGCACGAAAGCGUGGGGAUCGAACAG